This 698-nucleotide ribosomal RNA is filed under the name uncultured bacterium. RNAcentral's name for it is "bacterial SSU rRNA". It matches the Rfam family "Bacterial small subunit ribosomal RNA", at positions 97 to 796 of the family's 1533-position model. The record is from RNAcentral.
GGCGAACGGGUGCGUAACACGUGAACAACCUGCCCGAGCGAGGGGGAUAGCCGGCCCAACGGCCGGGUAAUACCGCAUAUGCUCACAGCGUCUUAUGGCGCAGUGAGGAAACCUUCGGGGCGCUCGGAGGGGUUCGCGACCUAUCAGCUAGUUGGCGAGGUAACGGCUCACCAAGGCUACGACGGGUAGCUGGUCUGAGAGGAUGGCCAGCCACAUUGGGACUGCGACACGGCCCAGACUCCUACGGGAGGCAGCAGUGGGGAAUAUUGCGCAAUGGUCGAAAGACUGACGCAGCGACGCCGCGUGGAGGAUGACGCCCUUCGGGGUGUAAACUCCUGUUGCUCGGGACGAAUAGCGAGAUUCAUCUCGCCUGACGGUACCGAGUGAGGAAGCACCGGCUAACUCUGUGCCAGCAGCCGCGGUAAUACAGAGGGUGCGAGCGUUGUCCGGAAUCACUGGGCGUAAAGGGCGCGUAGGCGGUUCGACAAGCGUGCGGUGAAAGCUCGGGGCUCAACCCCGAGUCGGCCGUGCGAACUGUCGGACUAGAGCACAGUAGAGGCAGAUGGAAUUCCGGGUGUAGCGGUGGAAUGCGUAGAGAUCCGGAAGAACACCGGUGGCGAAGGCGGUCUGCUGGGCUGUGGCUGACGCUGAUGCGCGACAGCGUGGGGAGCAAACAGGAUUAGAUACCCUGGUAGUCC